RNAcentral lists this ribosomal RNA (1020 nucleotides) under Citrobacter freundii. Its description in RNAcentral is "partial 23S ribosomal RNA". It matches the Rfam family "Bacterial large subunit ribosomal RNA", at positions 1781 to 2798 of the family's 2925-position model. Lineage: Bacteria; Pseudomonadati; Pseudomonadota; Gammaproteobacteria; Enterobacterales; Enterobacteriaceae. The record is from RNAcentral.
AGAUACCAGCUGGCUGCAACUGUUUAUUAAAAACACAGCACUGUGCAAACACGAAAGUGGACGUAUACGGUGUGACGCCUGCCCGGUGCCGGAAGGUUAAUUGAUGGGGUUAUCCGUAAGGAGAAGCUCUUGAUCGAAGCCCCGGUAAACGGCGGCCGUAACUAUAACGGUCCUAAGGUAGCGAAAUUCCUUGUCGGGUAAGUUCCGACCUGCACGAAUGGCGUAAUGAUGGCCAGGCUGUCUCCACCCGAGACUCAGUGAAAUUGAACUCGCUGUGAAGAUGCAGUGUACCCGCGGCAAGACGGAAAGACCCCGUGAACCUUUACUAUAGCUUGACACUGAACACUGGUCCUUGAUGUGUAGGAUAGGUGGGAGGCUUUGAAGUGUGGACGCCAGUCUGCAUGGAGCCAUCCUUGAAAUACCACCCUUUAAUGGCUGGUGUUCUAACGUAGACCCGUAAUCCGGGUUGCGGACAGUGUCUGGUGGGUAGUUUGACUGGGGCGGUCUCCUCCUAAAGAGUAACGGAGGAGCACGAAGGUUAGCUAAUCCUGGUCGGACAUCAGGAGGUUAGUGCAAAGGCAUAAGCUAGCUUGACUGCGAGAGUGACGGCUCGAGCAGGUGCGAAAGCAGGUCUUAGUGAUCCGGUGGUUCUGAAUGGAAGGGCCAUCGCUCAACGGAUAAAAGGUACUCCGGGGAUAACAGGCUGAUACCGCCCAAGAGUUCAUAUCGACGGCGGUGUUUGGCACCUCGAUGUCGGCUCAUCACAUCCUGGGGCUGAAGUAGGUCCCAAGGGUAUGGCUGUUCGCCAUUUAAAGUGGUACGCGAGCUGGGUUUAGAACGUCGUGAGACAGUUCGGUCCCUAUCUGCCGUGGGCGCUGGAGAAUUGAGGGGGGCUGCUCCUAGUACGAGAGGACCGGAGUGGACGCAUCACUGGUGUUCGGGUUGUCAUGCCAAUGGCAUUGCCCGGUAGCUAAAUGCGGAAGAGAUAAGUGCUGAAAGCAUCUAAGCACGAAACUUGCC